ACUACGGGUGGCAGCAGUGGGGAAUAUUGCACAAUGGAGGCAAGUCUGAUGCAGCCACGCCGCGUGCGCGAUGACGUAUUUCGGUAUUUAAAACUCUAUCAGCAGGGAAGAAAAUGACGGUACCUGAGUAAGAAGCUGCGUCUAAAUACGUGCCAGCAGCCGCUGUAAUACGUAAGGACCAGCCGUUUUCCGGAUUUAAUGGACGUAAAGGGCGCGUAGGCUGCCUGCUAAGUCAGAUGUGAAAUACCGGGGCUGAACCCGGGGGCUGCAGUGGAAACUGGCGGGCUUGAGUGCCGGAGGGGCAGGCGGAAUUCCUGGUGUAGCGGUGAAAUGCGUAGAUAUUAGGAGGAACACCAGUGGCGAAGGCAAGCGGCUGGACGGUGACUGACGCUGAGGCUCGAAAGCGUGGGGAGCAAACAGGAUUAGAUACCCGUGUAGUC
This 440-nucleotide ribosomal RNA is filed under the name uncultured bacterium. RNAcentral's name for it is "partial 16S ribosomal RNA". It matches the Rfam family "Bacterial small subunit ribosomal RNA", at positions 338 to 795 of the family's 1533-position model. The record is from RNAcentral.